GCCAGGCACUGUGGCAUGUGCCUGUAGUCCCAGUUACCCAGGUGGCUGAGGCAGGAGGAUCACUUGAUCCCAGGGAGUUCUGGGCUGUAGUGCACGAUUGGGUGUUCACACUAAGUUCGGCAUCAAUAUGGUGACCUCCUGUAGUGAGGGAUCACUAGGUUGCCUAAAGAGGGGUGAGCCAGCUCAGGUCAGAAACGGAGCAGGUCAAAACUCCCAUCUGAUCAAUAGUGGGAUUGCCCCUUUGAGUAUCCACUCCACUCAAGCCUGGGCAACAUAGUGAGAUCUCUUCUCU
RNAcentral lists this signal recognition particle RNA (292 nucleotides) under Aotus nancymaae (Ma's night monkey). RNAcentral describes it as "Metazoan signal recognition particle RNA (ENSANAG00000008331.1)". It matches the Rfam family "Metazoan signal recognition particle RNA". From Rfam's summary of the family: The signal recognition particle (SRP) is a universally conserved ribonucleoprotein. It is involved in the co-translational targeting of proteins to membranes. Lineage: Eukaryota; Metazoa; Chordata; Mammalia; Primates; Aotidae. The record is from RNAcentral.